UUUUUUUUUUUUUUUUUUUAAUAUAAUUAAUAAGAACUUAACUUUUGAGCAAACAUGACUAGGGUUUGGUUAGGGCAGGAGCCCCUGUGGGAAGUACAACAGGCAGUGGCUUGCUCAUGGCAAUCGAUCGAUCAAGAAUAGCUUCAUCAUCAAUCAAGAGUAUAACAAGACAUUUUCAUUGCUCACUCUCCCUCAAGGGCUUCCGGCGGAAAUAUUGCCAGAAAUGGCAAGCUUCGCUGGUCGGAGGUCAGUAGGGAGAGUGAACAAUAAUUGUCUUGAAGUUUAUAAAGCUUAUCAUCGAUCAUCGAUCAUCAUCCAUCGUCAACAAGAACGACAAUAACAAUGGCAUUGAUUGCUCACUCUCCCUCAAGGGCUUCUGUAUGUACAUUUUCUGGUUGAAACGAUCAGUUAAGUGUUUACACAGAGGUCCUUAGGAAGAGUGGAUAACGCUUGCCAUUUCAUGCACGGGACAUCCAUUGUUUUCGAACUUGGGGAGGGUUUAAGAAACAAGGAAGUGGCAACGAAUGACCAACAGACGAUAGGGUAAAGUUGAAGUUGAUAAAUAAAGACAAGAGCAGUCGCAUCCAUCCACUUCUAUCAACCUUUAACUUUUGAUGCAUACCUAUUAUUAUUGUAGUGCAGCUAAUUACUUAAAGGUUAAAUUGAAAAACAAGAAGAAAGAUGUAUCCAAGGGGAAAUAUUUCAACCUAAGGGGUUGAACUCUCUAUCUCUGUCAAUACAACAAUGAUCUAACACGAAGAAAUUAGUCUAUCAUCUAACCAUUAAACGAGCGUGGAGAUACCUUAAUAAUACCAAAAAAUAUAUUUCAAUUUCGAAUUUCAUUGAAGGAGAGAAUAGGGUUUAACAAACAACAGAGACAAGAAGUAGGACUUCAAUAGUUACAAAACACUACUUUACAAACUCAUGAGUUACUAUCAAACCACUAAUUUAUAAUUUCAAUAUUAUUUCCACAUUUGCUUAAUUUGCUAACUAAGCAA
Long non-coding RNA from Jatropha curcas, 998 nucleotides. RefSeq lists it as uncharacterized. The record is from RefSeq and is a predicted model, not a curated record. NCBI's taxonomy places the organism in Eukaryota, Viridiplantae, Streptophyta, Magnoliopsida, Malpighiales, Euphorbiaceae.